This 496-nucleotide ribosomal RNA is filed under the name uncultured bacterium. Its description in RNAcentral is "partial 16S ribosomal RNA". It matches the Rfam family "Bacterial small subunit ribosomal RNA", at positions 28 to 506 of the family's 1533-position model. The record is from RNAcentral.
GAUGAACGCUGGCGGCGUGCCUAAUACAUGCAAGUCGAGCGAACAGAUGAGGAGCUUGCUCCUCUGACGUUAGCGGCGGACGGGUGAGUAACACGUGGAUAACCUACCUAUAAGACUGGGAUAACUUCGGGAAACCGGAGCUAAUACCGGAUAAUAUAUUGAACCGCAUGGUUCAAUAGUGAAAGACGGUUUUGCUGUCACUUAUAGAUGGAUCCGCGCCGCAUUAGCUAGUUGGUAAGGUAACGGCUUACCAAGGCAACGAUGCGUAGCCGACCUGAGAGGGUGAUCGGCCACACUGGAACUGAGACACGGUCCAGACUCCUACGGGAGGCAGCAGUAGGGAAUCUUCCGUAGUGGGCGAAAGCCUGACGGAGCAACGCCGCGUGAGUGAUGAAGGUCUUCGGAUCGUAAAACUCUGUUAUUAGGGAAGAACAAAUGUGUAAGUAACUAUGCACGUCUUGACGGUACCUAAUCAGAAAGCCACGGCUAACUACGU